RNAcentral lists this transfer RNA (71 nucleotides) under Bos taurus (domestic cattle). RNAcentral describes it as "tRNA-Gly (GCC) (tRNA-Gly-GCC-3-1)". It matches the Rfam family "tRNA". From Rfam's summary of the family: Transfer RNA (tRNA) molecules are approximately 80 nucleotides in length. Lineage: Eukaryota; Metazoa; Chordata; Mammalia; Artiodactyla; Bovidae. The record is from RNAcentral.
GCAUGGGUGGUUCAGUGGUAGAAUUCUCGCCUGCCACGCGGGAGGCCCGGGUUCGAUUCCCGGACCAUGCA